This 651-nucleotide ribosomal RNA is filed under the name Probolus concinnus. Its description in RNAcentral is "eukaryotic LSU rRNA". It matches the Rfam family "Eukaryotic large subunit ribosomal RNA", at positions 420 to 809 of the family's 3401-position model. Lineage: Eukaryota; Metazoa; Arthropoda; Insecta; Hymenoptera; Ichneumonidae. The record is from RNAcentral.
CCUGAGAAACCCGAAAGAUCGAAUGGGGAGAUUCAUCGUCAGCGAUUCUGGUACGUGUGCGGUUCGCGAUGUCGGAGAAGACUUCGGUCGCGCGGCACGCGUCCGCAUGUUUUUUAUUGCCGGAAUCGUCGUCGUGCACUUCUCCCCUAGUAGGACGUCGCGACCCGUUGGGUGUCGGUCUACGGCACGGUAGGUAGCCUGUCACGCGUGCGCUUCGCGGCGUUACGCGGGGCAGACCUCCGUUCGCCCGACCGGCUGCUCGGCGGUACUCGCAAGAUAUCUGGCCGCAGACAUACGAACUGCGUCCGGCCCGUCGCAAGCGCGGCAAGUGUUUCUCGGCUGUACGGAUCCAAUGCCGUCACCGAGCCUUGCCAGCUGUUGGUUGACGGUGUCCUAGGACUGGCUAACAAAAUUAUGAUAUCGGUCGGCGACGCUAUUGCUUUGGGUACUUUCAGGACCCGUCUUGAAACACGGACCAAGGAGUCUAACAUGUGCGCGAGUCAUUGGGAACUAUUAAGCCUAAAGGCGCAAUGAAAGUGAAGGUCGGCCUUGCGCCGACCGAGGGAGGAUGGGCCGCGUCACGAUGCGGUCCCGCACUCCCGGGGCGUCUCGUUCUCAUUGCGAGAAGAGGCGCACCCAGAGCGUACACGU